This 468-nucleotide ribosomal RNA is filed under the name uncultured bacterium. Its description in RNAcentral is "partial 16S ribosomal RNA". It matches the Rfam family "Bacterial small subunit ribosomal RNA", at positions 28 to 507 of the family's 1533-position model. The record is from RNAcentral.
GACGAACGCUGGCGGCGUGCUUAACACAUGCAAGUCGAACGGAAAGGCCCUGCUUUUGUGGGGUGCUCGAGGGGCGAACGGGUGAGUAACACGUGAGUAACCUGCCCUUGACUUUGGGAUAACUUCAGGAAACUGGGGCUAAUACCGGAUAGGAGCUCCUGCUGCAUGGUGGGGGUUGGAAAGUUUCGGCGGUUGGGGAUGGACUCGCGGCUUAUCAGCUUGUUGGUGGGGUAGUGGCUUACCAAGGCUUUGACGGGUAGCCGGCCUGAGAGGGUGACCGGCCACAGUGGGACUGAGAUACGGCCCAGACUCCUACGGGAGGCAGCAGUGGCGAAGAGGGCACUAUGGGCGGAAGCCUGAUGCAGCAACGCCGCGGGCGGGAUGACGGCCUUCGGGUUGGAGACCGCUUGCGCCUGUGACGAAGAGGGAGUGACGGUAAUGGGUAAAGAAGCACCGGCUAACUACGUG